GGAGGAGUUGAGCAACGGUGGCUCCCCUGUCUUGAAAACAGGUGUCUGCAAAGACAUGCAGGUUCGAAUCCUG
Molecule: transfer RNA, 73 nt
Filed under: Candidatus Staskawiczbacteria bacterium RIFCSPLOWO2_01_FULL_43_17b
Lineage: Bacteria; Candidatus Staskawicziibacteriota
Description: tRNA-Ser
Rfam family: tRNA
About the family: Transfer RNA (tRNA) molecules are approximately 80 nucleotides in length. Their secondary structure includes four short double-helical elements and three loops (D, anti-codon, and T loops). Further hydrogen bonds mediate the characteristic L-shaped molecular structure. tRNAs have two regions of fundamental functional importance: the anti-codon, which is responsible for specific mRNA codon recognition, and the 3' end, to which the tRNAs corresponding amino acid is attached (by aminoacyl-tRNA synthetases). tRNAs cope with the degeneracy of the genetic code in two manners: having more than one tRNA (with a specific anti-codon) for a particular amino acid; and 'wobble' base-pairing, i.e. permitting non-standard base-pairing at the 3rd anti-codon position.
Source: RNAcentral